GACGAACGCUGGCGGCGUGCUUAAUACAUGCAAGUCGAACGGAAAGGCCCUGCUUUUGUGGGGUGCUCGAGUGGCGAACGGGUGAGUAACACGUGAGUAACCUGCACUUGACUUUGGGAUAACUUCAGGAGACUGGGGCUAAUACCGGAUAGGAGCUCCUGCUGCAUGGGGGUGGUUGGAAAGUUUCGGCGGUUGGGGAUGGAAUAGCAGCUUAUGAGCUUGAUGGUGGGGUAGUGGCUUACCAAGGCUUUGACGGGUAGCCGGCCUGAGAGGGUGACCGGCCACAUGGGGACUGAGAGACGGCGCAGACUCCUACGGGAGGCAGCAGUGGGGAAUAUGGCACAAUGGGCGGAAGCCUGAUGCAGCAACGCCGCGUGCGGGAUGACGUGCUUCGGGUUGUAAACCGCUGUCUCCUGUGACGAAGCGUGAGUGACGGUAAUGGGUAAAGAAGCACCGGCUAACUACGUG
Molecule: ribosomal RNA, 468 nt
Filed under: uncultured bacterium
Lineage: Bacteria
Description: partial 16S ribosomal RNA
Rfam family: Bacterial small subunit ribosomal RNA
Source: RNAcentral